This 2049-nucleotide long non-coding RNA is filed under the name Sus scrofa (pig). RNAcentral's name for it is "lncRNA (ENSSSCG00065057923.1)". Lineage: Eukaryota; Metazoa; Chordata; Mammalia; Artiodactyla; Suidae. The record is from RNAcentral.
UUUUGUUUCUUUUGGUUCUUUCUCUCCUCUUCUUGGUGAGUCUGGCCAGAGGUCUUGUUUACCCUUUCAAAGAACCAGAUCUUGGUUUUGGUUUUAUUGAUUUUUUUUCUAUUGUUUCUGGAUCUCUAAUUUUAUUGAUUUCCUCUCUGAUCUUUAUGAUUUCCUUCCUUCUGCUGACUUUAGGUUUUGUUUGUUCUUCUUUUUCUAAGUACUUUAAGUAGUUAAGUUAUGCUACUGAUUUGAGAUUUUUCUUCUUUUUUGAGGAAAGCCUGUAUUGUUAUGAACUUCCCUCUAAGAACUGCUUUUGCAGCAUCCCAUAGGUUUUGAAUGGUUGUGUUUUCAUUAUCAUUUGUCUUGAGGUUUUUCUGUGUGUGUGUGUUUGUCUUUUUAGGGCCACACCCAUGGCAUGUGGAGGUUCCCAGAUUUUGAGGAUUUUUUUUUACAUUUUCCUUAAAUAAAAUAAAUUAAUUAAGUUUUAACAUGACAGAAUGAAGGCCUCGUGGAGUGAAGUGAGAAUACAGAGGAUGGAUUACCCAAGUCGGCUUGGACAAAUCGAGGAAAGCUUUGCAGAGAAGGUCGUCUAUCAACUGAGAUUAGGCAGGAACUUCUACUUCGUGAAGGCUGGGGUGUAAACAGCAGAAAAGGACAUUUUAUUUCGAAUAAUUUCUACUGAAAUCAGUAGUACUCAAAGCUUAGUUCUCAGACCUCUGGUGGUCUACAAACUGCUGUGAGGCUGUGUCAGGAUGAAUACAAAAAUAGACAAUCAGUGUUUAGAAACCUUUAUGGAAAUCUGACAGAGUAAUUUUAUGUCUGUUGAAUCUAAUUUUUAAAAUUACAGCUCGUUUUAUAUUUCAUUUCUCUAGUUAUUCAUUUUUAUUAUAUUUGCUAAAGUACUGGUUUACAACAAAUUGAAGAGAAUUUUAAACAGAAAUAGUUUGAGUAAUAUUAUUAAAUGCAUCCAAUUCUGACUAUAACUCUCAAAUUGUUCACUCUUUGCAGCUUCUUUUUGUAUUUAGAGUGAACUCAAAAGGCCUAUCCCCUGACUUAAGGAAGAACCUCAUGUAUCAAUUAGAGGAUGAUCCAUUUUAUUUAAGAAUCAUGCUAACAAUUCAGCUAUGCUGACCAAACUCCUUAAGCAUCUUAGCGGAGUGAGGAACAGCUGGUUCACAUUCUUUGGCACAUGUUAUCAAAAGUAGAAGCAACUAGAUGCUAAUAGAAUACUAUUUCGUUUUAUUUUUCUAAUACUUGAAGACAUUAAUCCUCAUACUACUUUUUUGUGAGGCCAGUCUUGCACCUCUUCAGAAUCGUCUUUAAUCAAAGCACACAAGUACCUCCAGAAAUAAGGCAGUUUUGUGCAGAUAUAAAUUCAAAUAAAGACAGGUCUUCACUAUCUAAAAACUUAUGCUCUAAAAUAGAAAAUGCACAGUGAAUGUUUACUCCUGAUAUAAAAAGGAUUCUUCUGUCCCCAGACCAUGAAACCAAAACAAAGUUUUAAUAUGCAAAGAAUCAUGUAAAACAGGCAUGUAAACUCAGAAAUAAAACCUCAAGUCAGAAUCUUUCACCAAAAUCUUUAGACCACAUACUGUUUGUUCUUAACUCUGCCAAACAGUUCAUUCAAGUUAAUGACGGAUUCUCUGCUGUCAAUCUUAUCCACAGCUCUUUUUAGAUUUCAAUGAAAAUUUAAAUUUACAAAUAUCAGGGAAGUCCCACUGUGGCACAGUGGUUUAUGAAUCCAAUUGCAGUGGCUCAGGUCACUGCAGAGGCACAGGUUCAAUCCUUGGCCUGGCACAGUGGAUUAAGGAUCCAGAAUUGCCUCAGCUGCAGCUCGGAUUCAAUUGCUGGCCUGGGGAACUUCCAUAUGCCAUGGGUGCAGCAAAAUUAAUAAAUAAAUAGUAAUAAUCCAUAAAAGUUUAAUCAAAUAUACAAUCAGAAUGUAAGUUGAAAGAUUUUACUAUUUCUAGGUUUCAUAUAAACAUGCUUUGUGACAGGAAAUACUUUAAUCUGUGAAGUAAAAUUACUUUAGUGAUAUUCUUUUUGAUGACAUAAUUA